Molecule: long non-coding RNA, 296 nt
Filed under: Elaeis guineensis (African oil palm)
Lineage: Eukaryota; Viridiplantae; Streptophyta; Magnoliopsida; Arecales; Arecaceae
Description: long non-coding RNA (EGUI_LNC037163)
Source: RNAcentral
CUAUUUGGCCAUAUAAGGAACAUGGUGUAUAUGCUAGGUAGUGUCAGGUUAGGGCACAAUGUUGUUUUUGCCCAAUCAUGGGCUGGAGUAUGGUUGUAAUUAGUUAAAUACAGAAAAGAUAAGUAUAAAUUGUGUGGAAGGGGAGCAUGUGGAUAGUCAACCAUGUGUGAAACAUAACGUAUCAGCCAUAGACUGAGAUGCUUAGCCUGCCACGAGUUGGAGCAUAGUUGUGACCAGUCCAAUACCAAAAUCAAAUCAAAAUAAUGAAGCAUAUCUAAUUGAAGGAUAUCUAGGCU